CUUGGUGGUUAUAGCGAGGGGCCUACACCCGAUCCCAUCCCGAACUCGGCCGUGAAAACCCUCAGCGCCAAUGGUACUGCGUCUUAAGGCGCGGGAGAGUAGGUCGCCGCCAGGC
This 115-nucleotide ribosomal RNA is filed under the name Gallionellaceae bacterium. The record is from RNAcentral. Lineage: Bacteria; Pseudomonadati; Pseudomonadota; Betaproteobacteria; Nitrosomonadales; Gallionellaceae.